Molecule: long non-coding RNA, 479 nt
Organism: Poecilia latipinna (sailfin molly)
Lineage: Eukaryota; Metazoa; Chordata; Actinopteri; Cyprinodontiformes; Poeciliidae
Exons: 3
Source: RefSeq, a predicted model, not a curated record
AAGAGUUCAGGAAUCAGUGUUUGGUGGAAAAACCAGGUUUUCAAUGCGGUUCAGUGCAGUGGGCUCUUAAUGUGUUCCAGAGCUGUCUAAUGUGAAAUUCACUUAGUUGAAACUUUACUGUUUCAACUUCCUGACUUAAUAUACACAAUUUUAUACAACAUGAAGCUUCCAGAUUUAGAUCCAACAAGAAGAAAAGAGAUUGUGAGAGAAUGAUGACAGCCAGAAACUUGUCCAGCUCACCUCCUGUAAUGUAUGCAGAGAUAAUGGGUUAAAAUCAUAAUUAAAAGGCUCAGCUCCAGUGGUGGGAGCUUAAAGAGGUUCAGUGCAUAGAAAACAUUAGCUGAAUAAAUCCACUCUAAAGAAAAAAACCCUCAUACCUAAUAUCUUUAAUUUGUCUGAGCUCAUGUCUCAUAUCAUUCUGAUAAAAGCAUUUCUGCUCAAUAAAGAGUCGGACACAGAAGCGCUGACUAACAUAAAUA